RNAcentral lists this ribosomal RNA (504 nucleotides) under Triticum aestivum (bread wheat). RNAcentral describes it as "partial small subunit ribosomal RNA". The record is from RNAcentral. Lineage: Eukaryota; Viridiplantae; Streptophyta; Magnoliopsida; Poales; Poaceae.
AUGAUAGGUAUUUUUUGGAACAUUAGAGGGCUGAAUGGCCCCAUUAAAGUUGACAAAUUGAAAGAGCUCAUUAGAGGCAAUAGUCCUGAUUUUAUUUGUAUUUCUGAGACCAAGAAAGAAGAAUUUAUUCUUCUACAACUUGAAGCAUUUGAUCCCAGAUCUGAUUUCAAAUGGAAAUGGCUCCCUGCAAUUAACACUGCAGGAGGGAUUUUAAUUGGAUGUAAGGUAGAUCUAUUUGACUUAGUCCAAUGUGAUUUACAUAAUUUCAGUAUUUCUUGCUUACUUAAAAAUAAACAGGAUUCCUCUAUUUGGAGGCAUAUUUCUGUUUAUGGUUCUGCCUAUGACCAGUUCAAAACGGAUUUCAUUAAUGAACUCCACAGCUUGCUAACUGGCUGGAUAGAGCCCACCCUGGUGGGUGGUGAUUUCAAUUUAAUUAGAGAGGCUGGUGAUAAAAACACUGGUGUUAUUAAUCAACACUGGGCUAACCUCUUUAAUGACUGGAUA